RNAcentral lists this ribosomal RNA (460 nucleotides) under uncultured bacterium. RNAcentral's name for it is "partial 16S ribosomal RNA". It matches the Rfam family "Bacterial small subunit ribosomal RNA", at positions 338 to 795 of the family's 1533-position model. The record is from RNAcentral.
CCUACGGGAGGCAGCAGUGAGGAAUAUUGGUCAAUGGCCGGAAGGCUGAACCAGCCAUGCCGCGUGAAGGUCAGUGCCCUAUGGGCGUUAAACUUCUUUUGUGCGGGAGCAAUAAUGGUCACGUGUGGCCAGACGAGAGUACCGUACGAAUAAGCAUCUGCUAACUCCGUGCCAGCAGCCGCGGUAAUACGGGGGAUGCAAGCGUUAUCCGGAUUUAUUGGGUUUAAAGGGUGCGUAGGCUGUGAGGUAAGUCAGCGGUGAAAUGCCCCCGCUCAACGGGGUGAAGUGCCAUUGAUACUGCCUUGCUGGAAUGCGGAUGCCGUGGGAGGAAUGUGUGGUGUAGCGGUGACAUGCAUAGAUAUCACACAGAACACCGAUUGCGAAGGCAUCUCACGAAUCCGCGAUUGACGCUGAUGCACGAAAGCGUGGGUAUCAAACAGGAUUAGAUACCCGAGUAGUC